This 301-nucleotide ribosomal RNA is filed under the name uncultured bacterium. RNAcentral describes it as "partial 16S ribosomal RNA". It matches the Rfam family "Bacterial small subunit ribosomal RNA", at positions 509 to 807 of the family's 1533-position model. The record is from RNAcentral.
CAGCAGCCGCGGGAAUACAGAGGGUGCGAGCGUUAAUCGGAUUUACUGGGCGUAAAGCGUGCGUAGGCGGCUUUUUAAGUCGGAUGUGAAAUCCCUGAGCUUAACUUAGGAAUUGCAUUCGAUACUGGGAAGCUAGAGUAUGGGAGAGGAUGGUAGAAUUCCAGGUGUAGCGGUGAAAUGCGUAGAGAUCUGGAGGAAUACCGAUGGCGAAGGCAGCCAUCUGGCCUAAUACUGACGCUUAGGUACGAAAGCAUGGGGAGCAAACAGGAUUAGAUACCCCGGUAGUCCCUGUCUCUUAUAC